This 250-nucleotide ribosomal RNA is filed under the name uncultured bacterium. RNAcentral's name for it is "partial 16S ribosomal RNA". It matches the Rfam family "Bacterial small subunit ribosomal RNA", at positions 366 to 611 of the family's 1533-position model. The record is from RNAcentral.
GGAUGAGAUGGCCGGAAGUCUGAUCCAGCCAUGCCGCGUGCAGGAUGAAGGCGCUCAGCGUUGUAAACUGCUUUUGGAUGGGAAUAAUAACCUCGACGUGUCGGGGCUUGAAGGUACCAUCAGAAUAAGCACCGGCUAACUCCGUGCCAGCAGCCGCGGUAAUACGGAGGGUGCAAGCGUUAUCCGGAAUCACUGGGUUUAAAGGGUGCGUAGGCGGCGCGAUAAGUCAGUUGUGAAAUUCCCCGGCUCA